RNAcentral lists this ribosomal RNA (793 nucleotides) under uncultured archaeon. RNAcentral's name for it is "bacterial SSU rRNA". It matches the Rfam family "Archaeal small subunit ribosomal RNA", at positions 85 to 876 of the family's 1478-position model. The record is from RNAcentral.
ACUGCUCAGUAACACGUGGAUAACCUGCCCUUGGGUCUGGGAUAACCCCGGGAAACUGGGGAUAAUACCGGAUAACGCAUAUAUGCUGGAAUGCUUUAUGCGUAAAAUGGAUUCGUCUGCCCAAGGAUGGGUCUGCGGCCUAUCAGGUAGUAGUGGGUGUAAUGUACCUACUAGCCUACAACGGGUACGGGUUGUGAGAGCAAGAGCCCGGAGAUGGAUUCUGAGACAUGAAUCCAGGCCCUACGGGGCGCAGCAGGCGCGAAAACUUUACAAUGCGGGAAACCGUGAUAAGGGGACACCGAGUGCCAGCAUCAUAUGCUGGCUGUCCAGAUGUGUAAAAUACAUCUGUUAGCAAGGGCCGGGCAAGACCGGUGCCAGCCGCCGCGGUAACACCGGCGGCCCGAGUGGUGAUCGUGAUUAUUGGGUCUAAAGGGUCCGUAGCCGGUUUGGUCAGUCCUCCGGGAAAUCUGAUGGCUCAACCAUUAGGCUUUCGGGGGAUACUGCCAGGCUUGGAACCGGGAGAGGUAAGAGGUACUACAGGGGUAGGAGUGAAAUCUUGUAAUCCCUGUGAGACCACCUGUGGCGAAGGCGUCUUACCAGAACGGGUUCGACGGUGAGGGACGAAAGCUGGGGGCACGAACCGGAUUAGAUACCCGGGUAGUCCCAGCCGUAAACGAUGCUCGCUAGGUGUCAGGCAUGGCGCGACCGUGUCUGGUGCCGCAGGGAAGCCGUGAAGCGAGCCACCUGGGAAGUACGGCCGCAAGGCUGAAACUUAAAGGAAUUGGCGGGGGAG